AAUAAGGACAUUACACAUGCAAAUCAAACGUUUAUUAUAAAUAAUAUAAUAAAUAAGUGGUGAGAACGUGAGUAAAAAAUAAGGAAUAAUGAACUAUAAAAAAGAUUAAAUAUCUUAUAAAAUGAAAGAAUAUAAAUAAAUAUUUGUUUAUAGUCAAGCCUAUAAUGGUUUAGGUAGUAGGUUAUUAAAGAGUAUAACCUAGCCAACGAUCCAUAAUCAAUAAUGAAAGUUAUAAUGAUCACGUUGAUAUAUUAAAUAUAAUCAAUAUCUAUAUGAUACAGCAGUGGGGAAUAUUAGACAAUGAUCGAAAGAUUGAUCUAGUUACUUAUUAGGAUGAUAUUUU
RNAcentral lists this ribosomal RNA (343 nucleotides) under Naumovozyma dairenensis. Its description in RNAcentral is "partial small subunit ribosomal RNA". It matches the Rfam family "Bacterial small subunit ribosomal RNA", at positions 44 to 395 of the family's 1533-position model. Lineage: Eukaryota; Fungi; Ascomycota; Saccharomycetes; Saccharomycetales; Saccharomycetaceae. The record is from RNAcentral.